CGGGGGAGCCCUCUCCGUCAGCACCUGGAAGCAAAACUUCGGCUUGCUUGGAGACUCCAGCUAUACAUUAGAACCGUGGUUCCUGACACCAGUGCCCGGACGACCAGCUCGUGGCACCCCUGAUGACCACUACAACAAGGCCCACACCGCCAUUGCGCAAUGUUGUGGAGUGGUGCAUCGCUGUAAGCUUGUGCACAGCUGCUCAAGCAUCAUUGCUGCUUGUGCAGCUCUGCACGACAUUGCGUUGGCGGCACAUGAGCCUGUUCUCGAAGGAAACGAUGACGACACCGACGAUGCUGACUGCUGCCAGCAGCAGCUGAGCUACCACCACCACCACCACCACAACGGGAGCCAGCAGCAGCGCAACCGUGUAGUGAACCUGUUUCGAGAACUACAGGGCCUGCAUGCUUGAGCACCUGCGCAGAGUACGCCGCCGCCUGCAACGACCUCGGCAGCAUUGCGUGGUGCCUUCCGCUGCAAUGAGGGCCCGGGCGAGGGUACCAACGCCUUGCAAUUUGUGGACCGCGUCACCGAGAAGUUGAACCUGGCGCAGCUUUCCAAUGAUGCCUGGCCCUGCCGCCUGGUGUUUGCGGCUAGUAACUCCAGCGCCUCGGCCUGCCGGUUGCCCCCAUCUCGCAGCUGCGGCAUGAGCUGGAAACCAAGAAAUGUGUUGCCAUUAUCAUCUAUAAA
Molecule: long non-coding RNA, 690 nt
Organism: Rhipicephalus sanguineus (brown dog tick)
Lineage: Eukaryota; Metazoa; Arthropoda; Arachnida; Ixodida; Ixodidae
Exons: 3
Source: RefSeq, a predicted model, not a curated record